Molecule: non-coding RNA, 1810 nt
Organism: Camellia sinensis
Lineage: Eukaryota; Viridiplantae; Streptophyta; Magnoliopsida; Ericales; Theaceae
Source: RefSeq, a predicted model, not a curated record
AUACCCACUCUGUCCAAUUUGUUUGGCCAGUAGGUUGCUUGGGGUGUGACAUGAAAAUUCUUCAAACUGGACUUGACAUGUACAGUGGCAAAAGAUGCUAUUUCAAGGUAUGUUAGACGAAUUGUUUUUGAAAGAGGACUCAUUGUAGAUCCAGAUCAGGGGGAGUUUCUCUGCCCUGUGGGAACCAUGGACUUGCAAAUUCAGCAUUGCCUGCAGUACCUGGAGAUUCUCAAAAGGUUUCUAGACCAGCAAUGGUUUCAACUGUCAGUUGGCCAUAUGCUACAGGCCAAUUAUCCUCUCUGCAAACAGGGAAACUGAUUUCCUUCGCUUUCGGGAAGCCUGGUCUCUUUUACAUAGUGCUGCUGAUGUUGCUGGGAGGAGUGAAAUCCUAAAAGCUUUUCCAAUGCAUCGAACUGGAAGGAUAAGACCAAAUCCUGAAUCCAUGUUUCGUGUACUAUCUGGAAUGUAUUUUCCAGGCAAACAGGAUAGGAUUUCAGGAUCUGCAAGGGUAAGCCACUCGGUAAUUAUGUGGGACACUCUUAAGUACUCCCUUAUUUCAGGAUCUACUGCUGGUCUGCUGCUGCUGCUGCCAGUGUGCUGCUGCAGAAUUUUGCUGGGUUGCUACUGCUGCUGCAAUGUUGCUGUGAAGCGGGCUGCUGCUAGAUGCUGGUCUGCUGCAAAUUUGGGUUGUUGUUAGCCCUAUGAAUUCAAUACAUAAUCGGGUAAUUAUUUUAUUUGUGUGCAGUACAUUGAUAGGACAGUAGAGGAUUGUUUCUUUAACUCUAUGUUUACCUCAACUCCUAGUUGGCCAGAAUGAUAUCUGAUUGAUUGUUCAACUUAAGAUUUGGCUUUUUAGAUUUUGUUCAGGUAAAUGAGGGAAUGUUGGAGAAGUGUCUUGAGGGUUUGGAUUUAGUUCUUAAGGAAUAAAAUUACGGGUAGAUUUUGAUAUGGUAGAUUUAUUGUGAUGGUGGCUUGGUUUUUGGGAACUAAAAUGGCAUUGAAUGGAACAGUUACAUAGAUGAUUUAGAUGGCCCAUUUCAAACGGAUCAUGUUGACUGAAAUUGGAAACUUCAGGGAUGGAAUUGACAAAAUUGGAACUUGACCAAAGUGACCUGAAACAACAAAAAUAUCAUAAUUAUGAAAAGAGAGUGUGGCAUACAUAAAGCCUGGACAUAUUUAUAAAAACUGAAAUCAAUGUUCUAGAUGAUGUUGAUCUGAGGUGCUAUUUUAGGGGUGGUGUGAAGAUGACAAAAACUGGAGAUUCAAGGUUGAAAGGUUACAUCCUAGUGCCAAAAGGCACAGAUUAGAUUCAAAAUGUAUUGGAUGAAUCCCAAAACCAGUAAUUCAACAUUUGUUAAAGAGUCUUAUAGUAAAAACUGAAAAAUCCAUGAACUUAUGCACAAACAUAACGUAACAUUUGGUGCCCAUAUAACAAAAACCACAAAUGAUCACAGAACAUACAUACUUUUCCGUCUACAAAUUCGGCUGGCAAAAAAUAAAACAUAUUCGGAAAAUACCUUUUUUUUAGUGUAACAAAUUAAAUUAAAAAAAUCCAUGUAAUGCUGACUAAACUCUUCAAAGUCUUGUCCCAACUACUUGGGGGUCAGCUACAAGAAUCCUGUUUUGCCAUUCUGCUUGUUUAAGGGGCAUAAUUCAGUUAAAACAUGAGCAUACCCUCAAUAGCAUUUCAAAUAUUUAUGUUUUUUUCCCCUUUAACAGAAUGAGAUUGUUUUACUAUUUCUCAGCCUUGUUAAACAUGACCUGAAGCUUCGUUUUGUUUUGCUGCAUUUGGUUUUUGUUUCACAGAAAA